GUGAGGAAUAUUGCGCAAUGGAGGCAACUCGGACGCAGCCAUGCCGCGUGCAGGAAGAAGGCGCUACGCGUUGUAAACUGCUUUUAACCGGGAAGAAACCCCAGGACGUGUCCUGGGUUGACGGUACCGGAGGAAUAAGCACCGGCUAACUUCGUGCCAGCAGCCGCGGUAAUACGAAGGGUGCAAGCGUUAUCCGGAUUCAUUGGGUUUAAAGGGUGCGUAGGCGGAGCGUUAAGUCAGUGGUGAAAUCCUGCAGCUUAACUGUAGACUUGCCAUUGAUACUGGCGCUCUUGAGUGCGCUUGAAGUGGGCGGAAUGUGCCGUGUAGCGGUGAAAUGCUUAGAUAUGGCACAGAACACCAAUUGCGAAGGCAGCUCACUAAGGCGAUACUGACGCUGAGGCACGAAAGCGUGGGGAUCGAACAGGAUUAGAUACCCCUGUAGUCC
This 445-nucleotide ribosomal RNA is filed under the name uncultured bacterium. Its description in RNAcentral is "partial 16S ribosomal RNA". It matches the Rfam family "Bacterial small subunit ribosomal RNA", at positions 354 to 796 of the family's 1533-position model. The record is from RNAcentral.